CAGUCGCCGCGGGAAUACGGAGGGUGCAAGCGUUAAUCGGAAUUACUGGGCGUAAAGCGCGCGUAGGUGGUUCGCCAAGUUGGAUGUGAAAUCCCCGGGCUCAACCUGGGAACUGCAUCCAAAACUGGCGAGCUAGAGUAUGGUAGAGGGUGGUGGAAUUUCCUGUGUAGCGGUGAAAUGCGUAGAUAUAGGAAGGAACAUCAGUGGCGAAGGCGACCACCUGGACUGAUACUGACACUGAGGUGCGAAAGCGUGGGGAGCAAACAGGAUUAGAUACCCCGGUAGUCCCUGUCUCUUAUAA
This 301-nucleotide ribosomal RNA is filed under the name uncultured bacterium. Its description in RNAcentral is "partial 16S ribosomal RNA". It matches the Rfam family "Bacterial small subunit ribosomal RNA", at positions 509 to 809 of the family's 1533-position model. The record is from RNAcentral.